Salmo salar (Atlantic salmon) is the source of this 54-nucleotide non-coding RNA. NCBI's taxonomy places the organism in Eukaryota, Metazoa, Chordata, Actinopteri, Salmoniformes, Salmonidae. The record is from Rfam.
UGCACUCACUACUGUAAGUCGCUCUGGAUAAGAGCACCUGCUAAAUGACUAAAA